This 484-nucleotide ribosomal RNA is filed under the name uncultured bacterium. RNAcentral describes it as "partial 16S ribosomal RNA". It matches the Rfam family "Bacterial small subunit ribosomal RNA", at positions 30 to 507 of the family's 1533-position model. The record is from RNAcentral.
AUUGAACGCUGGCGGCAGGCCUAACACAUGCAAGUCGAGCGGAUGAAGGGAGCUUGCUCCUGGAUUCAGCGGCGGACGGGUGAGUAAUGCCUAGGAAUCUGCCUGGUAGUGGGGGAUAACGUCCGGAAACGGGCGCUAAUACCGCAUACGUCCUGAGGGAGCAAGUGGGGGAUCUUCGGACCUCACGCUCUCAGAUGAGUCUAGGUCGGAUUAGCUAGUUGGUGGGGUAAAGGCUUACCAAGGCGACGAUCCGUAACUGGUCUGAUAGGAUGAUCAGGCACACUGGAACUGAGACACGGUCCAGACUCCUACGGGAGGCAGCAGUGGGGAAUAUUGGACAAUGGGCGAAAGCCUGAUCCAGCCAUGCCGCGUGUGUGAAGAAGGUCUUCGGAUUGUAAAGCACUUUAAGUUGGGAGGAAGGGCAGUAAGUUAAUACCUUGCUGUUGUGACGUUACCAACAGAAUAAGCACCGGCUAACUUCGUG